AAUAUUUGACAAUGGGCGCAAGCCCGAUCCAGCCAUACCGCGUGGGUGAAGAAAGCCUUCGGGUGGUAAAGCCCUUUUGUUGGGAAAGAAAUCCAGCUGGCUAAUAACCGGUUUGGAUUACGGUACCGAAAGAAUAAGCACCUGCUAACUGCCGGCCAGCAGCCGCGGUAAUACGAAGGGUGCAAGCGUUACUCGGAAUUACUGGGCGUAAAGCGUGCGUAGGUGGUCGUUUAAGUCCGUUGUGAAAGCCCUGGGCUCAACCUGGGAACUGCAGUGGAUACUGGGCGACUAGAAUGUGGUAGAGGGUAGCGGAAUUCCUGGUGUAGCAGUGAAAUGCGUAGAGAUCAGGAGGAACAUCCAUGGCGAAGGCAGCUACCUGGACCAACAUUGACACUGAGGCACGAAAGCGUGGGGAGCAAAC
Molecule: ribosomal RNA, 421 nt
Filed under: uncultured bacterium
Lineage: Bacteria
Description: partial 16S ribosomal RNA
Rfam family: Bacterial small subunit ribosomal RNA
Source: RNAcentral